RNAcentral lists this ribosomal RNA (467 nucleotides) under uncultured bacterium. Its description in RNAcentral is "partial 16S ribosomal RNA". It matches the Rfam family "Bacterial small subunit ribosomal RNA", at positions 28 to 507 of the family's 1533-position model. The record is from RNAcentral.
GACGAACGCUGGCGGCGUGCUUAACACAUGCAAGUCGAACGGAAAGGCUCCAGCUUGCUGGAGUACUCGAGUGGCGAACGGGUGAGUAACACGUGGGUAAUCUGCCCUGCACUCUGGGAUAAGCCUGGGAAACUGGGUCUAAUACUGGAUAUGACCUUUCUCCUUAUGGGGUUUGGUGGAAAGUUUUUCGGUGUAGGAUGAGCCCGCGGCCUAUCAGCUUGUUGGUGGGGUGAUGGCCUACCAAGGCGACGACGGGUAGCCGGCCUGAGAGGGUGAUCGGCCACAUUGGGACUGAGAUACGACCCAGACUCCUACGGGAGGCAGCAGUGGGGAAUAUUGCACAAUGGGCGGAAGCCUGAUGCAGCGACGCCGCGUGAGGGAUGACGGCCUUCGGGUUGUAAACCUCUUUCAGCAGGGACGAAGCGUAAGUGACGGUACCUGCAGAAGAAGCACCGGCUAACUAUGUG